RNAcentral lists this ribosomal RNA (575 nucleotides) under uncultured bacterium. Its description in RNAcentral is "bacterial SSU rRNA". It matches the Rfam family "Bacterial small subunit ribosomal RNA", at positions 338 to 916 of the family's 1533-position model. The record is from RNAcentral.
CCUACGGGAGGCAGCAGUGAGGAAUACUGGACAAUGGGCGCAAGCCUGAUCCAGCCAUGCCGCGUGCAGGAAGACGGUCCUAUGGAUUGUAAACUGCUUUUGUACGGGAAGAAACACUCCUUCGUGAAGGAGCUUGACGGUACCGUAAGAAUAAGGAUCGGCUAACUCCGUGCCAGCAGCCGCGGUAAUACGGAGGAUCCAAGCGUUAUCCGGAAUCAUUGGGUUUAAAGGGUCCGUAGGCGGUUUAGUAAGUCAGUGGUGAAAGCCCAUCGCUCAACGGUGGAACGGCCAUUGAUACUGCUAGACUUGAAUUAUUAGGAAGUAACUAGAAUAUGUAGUGUAGCGGUGAAAUGCUUAGAGAUUACAUGGAAUACCAAUUGCGAAGGCAGGUUACUACUAAUGGAUUGACGCUGAUGGACGAAAGCGUGGGUAGCGAACAGGAUUAGAUACCCUGGUAGUCCACGCCGUAAACGAUGGAUACUAGCUGUUGGGGGCAACUUCAGUGGCUAAGCGAAAGUGAUAAGUAUCCACCUGGGGAGUACGUUCGCAAGAAUGAAACUCAAAGGAAUUGACGG